AGAGUUUGAUCCUGGCUCAGAACGAACGCUGGCGGCGUGCCUAACACAUGCAAGUCGAGCGAGAAAGUCCCCGCAAGGGGAUGAGUACAGCGGCGAACGGGUGAGUAACACGUGGGCAACCUGCCCUUCAGUCAGGAAUAACCCCGCGAAAGCGGGGCUAAUACCAGAUCACGUCCCCUGGGGGCAUCCUCGGGGGACCAAAGGGGGCGAGCGCAAGCAGCUCCCGCUGAUGGAUGGGCCUGCGGCUGAUUAGCUAGUUGGUAGGGUAACGGCCUACCAAGGCGACGAUCAGUAGCCGACCUGAGAGGGUGACCGGUCACACUGGGACUGAGACACGGCCCAGACUCCUACGGGAGGCAGCAGUGGGGAAUAUUGCGCAAUGGGCGAAAGCCUGACGCAGCGACGCCGCGUGGGUGAUGAAGGCUUUCGGGUCGUAAAGCUCUGCCAAUGGGAAAGAAGUGUAUUUUGGCUAAUAUCCUUAAUACUUGACGGUACCCAUAAAGGAAGCACCGGCUAACUCCGUGCCAGCAGCCGCGGUAAUAC
RNAcentral lists this ribosomal RNA (543 nucleotides) under uncultured Geobacter sp. Its description in RNAcentral is "bacterial SSU rRNA". It matches the Rfam family "Bacterial small subunit ribosomal RNA", at positions 8 to 526 of the family's 1533-position model. The record is from RNAcentral. RNAcentral also lists the same sequence under 1 other name. Lineage: Bacteria; Pseudomonadati; Thermodesulfobacteriota; Desulfuromonadia; Geobacterales; Geobacteraceae.